GACGAACGCUGGCGGCGUGCUUAACACAUGCAAGUCGAACGGAAAGGCCCUGCUUUUGUGGGGUGCUCGAGUGGCGAACGGGUGAGUAACACGUGAGUAACCUGCCCUUGACUUUGGGAUAACUUCAGGAAACUGGGGCUAAUACCGGAUAGGAGCUCCUGCUGCAUGGUGGGGGUUGGAAAGUUUCGGCGGUUGGGGAUGGACUCGCGGCUUAUCAGCUUGUUGGUGGGGUAGUGGCUUACCAAGGCUUUGACGGGUAGCCGGCCUGAGAGGGUGACCGGCCACAUUGGGACUGAGAUACGGCCCAGACUCCUACGGGAGGCAGCAGUGGGGAAUAUUGCACAAUGGGCGGAAGCCUGAUGCAGCAACGCCGCGUGCGGGAUGACGUCCUUCGGGUUGUAAACCGCUUUCGCCUGUGACGAAGCGUGAGUGACGGUACUGGGUAAAGAAGCACCGGCUAACUACGUG
Molecule: ribosomal RNA, 468 nt
Filed under: uncultured bacterium
Lineage: Bacteria
Description: partial 16S ribosomal RNA
Rfam family: Bacterial small subunit ribosomal RNA
Source: RNAcentral